CCAAUCAAGAAUGAUUAAUUGUUCCCCUACAUCUUCAUGGGGCUCGACUCCAACUAUGAUUUGAUCGUGACAUCCCUCACGACUCGGGUUGAUAACCUCACAUUUGAUAAUGUGUAUGCACAUCUCAUGGCCUUUGAGA
Molecule: small nucleolar RNA, 139 nt
Organism: Phragmites australis (common reed)
Lineage: Eukaryota; Viridiplantae; Streptophyta; Magnoliopsida; Poales; Poaceae
Product: small nucleolar RNA Z247
Exons: 1
Source: RefSeq, a predicted model, not a curated record